GCAUGUGACCGGAAGAACCUACCUCCUGGCUCAAGCGGGUGAUUGUGCUCAAGGAUUAGUUGUACGGUACACUGACACCACAGCUAUCGAGAAGCCAACAGCAUAUGAAUACAUGUUCAAGAAGUUCUGAGCUUCCUCUCUUGAUUGAAAUUCCAUCCCUUUCACUGGCAUUACAUAUUCAUUUCUUGUUGAAGAUCCUGCUUCAUUUUGCUGCUGCUCUGCCAGGUUGUCUUUCCCCUGCAUCACCAUCUUCAGCAUUGUUACUGUUCUUCCCAUCCAGAUUCCAUGUAUGGUCAAAGUCUUGUUUAUGUGUUUCUUCUUGUUGCUCAUCUUCAUCAACAACCUAUGAAAUAAAUGAAGAAUUUAUAUGCUAUUUUUUGUAUGUGUAAAUUUUAUGGCACCAAUACUGUAUUAUAUAUGAUUUUGAACAUUCAUAGUAAUUUUUUACCUCAUCGAGUUGCAUGUCAUCAAAUAAACUUGAGUUCCAUGGAUUUUGUUCAUGGUCCUCUUUGUUUGUAUUGUUUUCGUAUGUCGAACUUGUAGAUUGUCCUUCACCAUCCACUAUUGUUUUAUC
Lolium perenne is the source of this 574-nucleotide non-coding RNA. NCBI's taxonomy places the organism in Eukaryota, Viridiplantae, Streptophyta, Magnoliopsida, Poales, Poaceae. The record is from RefSeq and is a predicted model, not a curated record.